UCUCAAAUAUAAAUCCGAUAUUUUCAGAUCCUUUGUUCGCAGAAGAAUUGUGAGAUAGAAUUGUGGAUUAAAUUUGUCUCAAUUUUGGCCAACUUAAUGCUUAAUCCUUCUUUUUAAUUUAAUUGUAACGAAUUUAAAUGUUAAGCGAUGAAUGGAAGAAAUGUUUUGAAGAUCGGAGGCAUACUGAAUUCAGGUUAUGUUAACUGUUAAUCAUAGCGAUAAUUUCGUUGAUUCGAAACUGGUGCAAAUAUUCAAGA
Apis florea (little honeybee) is the source of this 257-nucleotide long non-coding RNA. RefSeq lists it as uncharacterized. The record is from RefSeq and is a predicted model, not a curated record. NCBI's taxonomy places the organism in Eukaryota, Metazoa, Arthropoda, Insecta, Hymenoptera, Apidae.